Molecule: long non-coding RNA, 835 nt
Filed under: Sander lucioperca (pikeperch)
Lineage: Eukaryota; Metazoa; Chordata; Actinopteri; Perciformes; Percidae
Description: lncRNA (ENSSLUG00000006374.1)
Source: RNAcentral
AUGGGGAAAAAGCAGAAGAAAUCCGGGGACGACAGCGCCAAAGACGAUGGCGUGGACAUCGACGCGCUCGCCGCCGAGAUCGAAGGAGCCGGAGCCUCCAAAGAGCCCAAAGGGAAGAAGAAGAAGAAGGGAGUGAAGAAGGAUGAGUUUGAUGAGGAUGACAUCCUGAAGGAGCUGGAGGAGUUGUCUCUGGAGACUCAGGGAGUGAAAGCAAAGGCUGCAGCGCCUCCCAUUGCGCCUCCUUCCAACUCAGACGAGGACAGCGUCUCGCGCUCUCGCGUCAAAGCCAAAGACGGAAAAAAGGGAGGCAAACAAGCAUCGGGGUCGGAUGGCGAGGAAGACAGAGACGAAGAUGAGGGUCUGAAGAAGAAAGGAGGAGGAGGAGGGAAGGAGGAGGAGGAGGGGUCAGAGGCGGAAGAGAGGGAAGCAGCUUUUGGCCGAGACAGGAAGAAGAAGAUCAGAGGCAAAGCGGUGAAGAUGGAGAGCGAGGAUGAGGAGGAGCAGGAUGGCGAGGAUGGGGCCAGCGGCUUCAAGAUGAAGACGGCGGCGCAGAAAAAGGCGGAGAAGAAGGAGAGGGACCGCAAGAAGAAGGAGGAGGAGAGGAUGAAGCAGAGGAAGCUGAAGGAGAAAGAGAAGGAGGGCAGCGUGGAGCCGGAGAAGAAGACGGCCGAGGUCCCGCCUCCUCAGGAAGAUCCACCAAUAGCAGCGGCCGAGGAACAGGAAGGGGCGGAGCCAGAAGGUGAGAAACCGUUCCCUGUCACCAACAGAGAUAACGUAGACACAGGCUAAUUACUGAUCACUAAAAUGAUAGUUAACAUUAGUAAUUAAACUUAAA